GAUGUGCCCAGAUGGGAUUAGCUUGUUGGUGAGGUAACGGCUCACCAAGGCGACGAUCCCUAGCUGGUCUGAGAGGAUGACCAGCCACACUGGAACUGAGACACGGUCCAGACUCCUACGGGAGGCAGCAGUGGGGAAUAUUGCACAAUGGGCGCAAGCCUGAUGCAGCCAUGCCGCGUGUAUGAAGAAGGCCUUCGGGUUGUAAAGUACUUU
RNAcentral lists this ribosomal RNA (213 nucleotides) under Salmonella enterica subsp. enterica serovar Enteritidis. Its description in RNAcentral is "partial 16S ribosomal RNA". It matches the Rfam family "Bacterial small subunit ribosomal RNA", at positions 224 to 436 of the family's 1533-position model. The record is from RNAcentral. Lineage: Bacteria; Pseudomonadati; Pseudomonadota; Gammaproteobacteria; Enterobacterales; Enterobacteriaceae.